This is a long non-coding RNA of Herpailurus yagouaroundi (jaguarundi), 2366 nucleotides long. RefSeq lists it as uncharacterized. The record is from RefSeq and is a predicted model, not a curated record. The transcript has 2 exons. Lineage: Eukaryota; Metazoa; Chordata; Mammalia; Carnivora; Felidae.
UCCUUCAGGCUUCAUCUCUCCAUCUUCAAAAUGUGGACGGCAAUCACAGAUCCUACACGUCAUCGGCUUACGGAAAGAAUCAAAGCCCAAAAUUCAGGCAUUCGUUUCAAAAUAAGGCCUAUUCUAUGUGCUAGGUUCUUACCUACACACUGGGACUCACACGGAUGGGACGAGCCAAGCUCCCCACGCGAGAGCACUCACACAGAGGCUGGCACGCAGUAAGCGAUCACUUCUGUCCUUCCUUGCGCUUCUGACUCUCACCUAGCACACACAUGCCACUGCGUCACCAUGGGGCCCGCCCGGAUGCCUGCCUUGGCUUCCCCAACUGUACUCCAUACCUUCCACCCGCCGGCCCGUCGCCGCCCUCUGGGGCCAACUGGCAGACAUCUCUGCCCUCUGACCGGCUCGCCAGCAUGCAAAGACGUGUGAGUGUUUGGGGACAUCAUUCAGCACGUUCCACAAGCUAGGUCGUGCCAGGAGUGCUUCUCAGGUGUUCACGUAUUUCACUCCCAGAACCACCCACUGAGUACAAUUAACUACCGCUCCAUUUACGGUUUAAGGAAACUGAGACACAGAGCAGUUAAGUAAUCUGCCUGAGACCACUCAGCUUCGGUGUCUCCUGAGUCCUGACUCCUGGCUUCCUCUCUUUCCAGUUGGCUCUGGAAGACAUUUCUAAAUCCUGUAACCCAUUCCUCCUAAAAUCUCGCCACGUCUGAUGGUUAAUAGAGCCAAAUGCAAACACCCAGGUCUCUACUGCCUCUAAACCACAAAGUGGGUGUGCCAGCUAGUGGUGGUGGUUGGGGGCACAGCGUGUUUAACUCUACAAGGGGAAACAGAGCUUACGAGUCCGUAGAGGUGCUUGGGAAAACCCACCCCAGUAUGUAGCCUUUGCCUACAACAUAAGUCAAAGCUGCAGGAGCUCGAGGUGCUUAAAUGGCUGCAUUAGCUUUUUUCCGCCCGAAUUCAUCCAGCACUUAGUUAUAUGCCCAGGACACACAGACCCACUGCCUUGACUGGUCAUACUGGAGCACUUAUCGUGACCCUCUAUCCGGCUGUAAAUUUCUUCAAGUCGGGACCUGGAUCUUGGUGUCCAUUCUGCUUAGCACAAGGACUCCUGCCCAGUAGAUCGCUGAUAAAUGUCAGCUGGAGGAACCAGAAAGAGAAAGAACGAAUGAGCGAGAAUCUGGUGCGGGGCCAGAUUCCACCGCCACCAGGGCAGGGGCUCCAGUCCAUCCAGGAGGACCACAGAAAGCAGGAAGCCAAGCAUACGGACCACAGGGCUCUUCAAAGGGCCUGGAGGAGGUUCCUUCUUGCAGCAUCAUCGCAGUAUGUGUAAACAGGAAUUCAAGGACUCAAGAGACCGAACAGGACCCUCACGAGCUGACACUCGCUCUCUUGCCAUGUGGUGGGCACAGUGCCAAGGACUUUACAUGCAUGAUGUCCAUUAAUCCCCAUAACAUUCUUGCCUCCUUCUUCUGGUAAUAGAAGCCCUGCCCCCCCCCCCCCCAACGGCCAAAGUAAGUGCCUUGUUUUCCUCCAGCCAAGAGGUGGGGGCGUGUCUAAACGGACCUACUGGAUACUCUCUCCAGGAUUUGACCCUGAGAGAGGACACAAGGACUGGCCUUAUCAGACCUUGACGAGCUCGUCGCUGGGCCUUCCAACAAGACUUGAGCGGCCCUCAUCCCAUCUGAGACCCGGUGCUUCACACUUUCUUCUCUUAUCGACUCCACAUCCUUCCUGUAGAUCCCCUUUCCGAGGUCAGCAGGGUCUGUUCCUGCUGCCUGCGGCCAAGCCCACCCAAUGAGUGGGUGCUGGGAUCAUGAGUCUCUGUUUAGAGCAGGAAGCAGGCUGAAGGAGUCGGGGGACUUGCCCAGGCCACCUGGCUGCAAAGUGGCAGAGCAGGGACACAGAGCAGCUUGCCUGUGUCCAGAGCUGAUGGCUUAGCCAUUGGGCCACUGCCUCCUGCUGCUCGUAGGGCUGGAGAGAGCUGGCAUCUGUCACCCCACGGUUCCUUCUUUGGGGCACGUCAAGGUGGUGAGUUCAUCCAUGUGCUGAAAUGCGUUCUCAGGCCUCAGAGCGGACAUUCUGCCCGGGGGCUAUUUUCUCAGGACAGGACACGCCUCCCUAGGACUGAUCCCCGUUUCUGAUGCCAUUACCUAAGUACCGUGCCAAAAGGCAUCUAGCACUCGCUGAUGAAACGCAUCCCUCCGGAUCCGUCCUUCCCUGAACCUCUCUCCCAAGGGUCCGAGCACAGGAAAUGUUGUUUUACCACUCGUGACAUUUACUGCAGCAAUGUCUUGAAAAUAAAAAGGGAGAGAGACAGAGCAAGGGGGAAAUGCAUACAUUAAACUUUUGGGUCACCACCA